CCCUUAGAUGUUCUGGGCCGCACGCGCGCUACACUGACGGAUUCAACGAGCUUACAACCUUGGCCGAAAGGUCUGGGUAAUCUCCAAAAUCCGUCGUGAUGGGGAUAGAUUAUUGCAAUUAUUAAUCUUCAACGAGGAAUGCCUAGUAAGCGCAAGUCAUCAGCUUGCGUUGGUUACGUCCCUGCCCUUUGUACACACCGCCCGUCGCUCCUACCGAUUGAAUGGUCCGGUGAAGCGUUUGGACUAUGGUUUUCUGAUGGUCCGCCGUUGGAUUACCGUGGGAAGUUCGUUAAACCUUAUCAUUUAGAGGAAGGAGAAGUCGUAACA
RNAcentral lists this ribosomal RNA (327 nucleotides) under uncultured eukaryote. Its description in RNAcentral is "partial 18S ribosomal RNA". It matches the Rfam family "Eukaryotic small subunit ribosomal RNA", at positions 1470 to 1796 of the family's 1831-position model. The record is from RNAcentral.